RNAcentral lists this ribosomal RNA (253 nucleotides) under uncultured bacterium. RNAcentral's name for it is "partial 16S ribosomal RNA". It matches the Rfam family "Bacterial small subunit ribosomal RNA", at positions 524 to 776 of the family's 1533-position model. The record is from RNAcentral.
UACGUAGGUGGCAAGCGUUGUCCGGAUUUACUGGGCGUAAAGGGCGUGCAGGCGGCUUGUUAAGUGCAGGGUGAAAGCUCCCGGCUCAACUGGGAGAGGUUCUUGCAUACUGGCGAGCUCGAGGGAGGCAGAGGAAAGUGGAAUUCCCGGUGUAGUGGUGAAAUGCGUAGAUAUCGGGAGGAACACCAGUGGCGAAGGCGACUACCUGGCCUGUUCUUGACGCUGAGGCGCGAAAGCUAGGGGAGCAAACGGG